RNAcentral lists this unclassified non-coding RNA (155 nucleotides) under Acholeplasma sp. J294. RNAcentral's name for it is "16S-23S ribosomal RNA intergenic spacer". The record is from RNAcentral. Lineage: Bacteria; Bacillati; Mycoplasmatota; Mollicutes; Acholeplasmatales; Acholeplasmataceae.
CUAAGGAGAAAGGCUUACUAACACUAAGCAUUAAAAAACAAUUUCUUCAUUUGUUCAUCAUAUUCAGUUUUGAGAGACUUUGACUUGUUUCUCAAGAAGUAUCAAAUAAAGUCUUUGAAAAGUAGAUAAAGAAGUCUGAAAUAUAAGAAAAGGUU